This 987-nucleotide ribosomal RNA is filed under the name Triticum aestivum (bread wheat). RNAcentral's name for it is "partial small subunit ribosomal RNA". Lineage: Eukaryota; Viridiplantae; Streptophyta; Magnoliopsida; Poales; Poaceae. The record is from RNAcentral.
AUGUCGAGAUCUCUUCGCCGGCGACCGGCCGCCAGACCAUCCAUCAAGGCCCUCAGCAGCUAUAACCGAUGGACCCCUCUAGCCAAUCUGGCAGAGGAAGAAGAUCAACUAGACCGGCUCAGCAAUUUGCCUGAUGGCGUGUUGCUCGAUAUUGUAGGGCGACUUGACAUCACAGAUGCUGCCAGAACCAGAAUCCUCGCCAGACGGUGGAAGCAGAUUCCUACUAUGCUCUCCAAAAUUUUAUUAACAGUUGGUCCCUUUGACGAUGUGCGCAAUAGAGGGUUGACCGCUGAUGAUGUAGCUCGGGCCAAUGCCACCGUGCUUGGAGCGACCAGGAGCAUGCUGGAAAGCAGGACUACAAGUCUAUGCACCAUUAACCUCCUGUGUGUGCGAUUCUUCUUGGGCGAUGGAACUCUCAGUAUUGGCCACACUGUUGCCAACACCAUGGUAACGGAGAAGGUUGGGUCAGCGGAGUUAACUCUCUUUACAAUGAAGGAAGGCAAACGAUGCACAGACGAUGAUGUUCUCGCUUACGGGAAACAGUUCAAGUCAUUUCUUGACGCCUGUCCAAACGCAUUCAGUGGUCUUGCACGACUCCAGCUAGAAAAUUUGAGGCUAGCUGAAUCAUCGGGCUUCCCUGAAAUUUUCAGUAUAUGCAAGCGACUGGAGUUCCUACGCCUGUUUAACUGCGACAUGGGGUUCCUGUCUUUGCUACAAGUGUCACACCCCCUACUCCGUGAACUCGAGAUUGUCAGGUGUAAUUUUGAGAGGGUUGAUCUUAAGUGGCUGCCGAAGCUCACGAUGCUGACUUUUUCUUGGUGGGUCUCUGAGCAUGAUCCUUUGUCUUUAGAUUAUGUCCCACUGCUCCAGACACUGAGCAUCACUCAUAUGGCUCGUUUACGGCAUAAGGUGCUCAAGUUAAGUGAGUUCCUUAGCAAAGCCACCAUAAGCGAACUGACUUUAAACUUUCUGUGUGAAAAGAUCUAG